AGCGAACGCUGGCGGCAGGCCUAACACAGGCAAGUCGAACGAACUCUUCGGAGUUAGUGGCGGACGGGUGAGUAACACGUGGGAACGUGCCUUUAGGUUCGGAAUAACUCAGGGAAACUUGUGCUAAUACCGAAUGUGCCCUUCGGGGGAAAGAUUUAUCGCCUUUAGAGCGGCCCGCGUCUGAUUAGCUAGUUGGUGAGGUAAAGGCUCACCAAGGCGACGAUCAGUAGCUGGUCUGAGAGGAUGAUCAGCCACAUUGGGACUGAGACACGGCCCAAACUCCUACGGGAGGCAGCAGUGGGGAAUCUUGCGCAAUGGGCGAAAGCCUGACGCAGCCAUGCCGCGUGAAUGAUGAAGGUCUUAGGAUUGUAAAAUUCUUUCACCGGGGACGAUAAUGACGGUACCCGGAGAAGAAGCCCCGGCUAACUUCGUGCAGCCGCCGCCGUAA
Molecule: ribosomal RNA, 448 nt
Filed under: uncultured bacterium
Lineage: Bacteria
Description: partial 16S ribosomal RNA
Rfam family: Bacterial small subunit ribosomal RNA
Source: RNAcentral